CACGGUGGAUGCCUUGGCACUAGAAGCCGAUGAAGGACGUUACUAACGACGAUAUGCUUUGGGGAGCUGUAAGUAAGCUUUGAUCCAGAGAUUUCCGAAUGGGGAAACCCAGCAUGAGUUAUGUCAUGUUAUCGAUAUGUGAAUACAUAGCAUAUCAGAAGGCACACCCGGAGAACUGAAACAUCUUAGUACCCGGAGGAAGAGAAAGAAAAUUCGAUUCCCUUAGUAGCGGCGAGCGAAACGGGAAGAGCCCAAACCAACAAGCUUGCUUGUUGGGGUUGUAGGACACUCUAUACGGAGUUACAAAGGACGACAUUAGACGAAUCAUCUGGAAAGAUGAAUCAAAGAAGGUAAUAAUCCUGUAGUCGAAAAUGUUGUCUCUCUUGAGUGGAUCCUGAGUACGACGGAGCACGUGAAAUUCCGUCGGAAUCUGGGAGGACCAUCUCCUAAGGCUAAAUACUCUCUAGUGACCGAUAGUGAACCAGUACCGUGAGGGAAAGGUGAAAAGCACCCCGGAAGGGGAGUGAAAUAGAACCUGAAACCGUGUGCUUACAAGUAGUCAGAGCCCGUUAAUGGGUGAUGGCGUGCCUUUUGUAGAAUGAACCGGCGAGUUACGAUUUGAUGCAAGGUUAAGCAGUAAAUGUGGAGCCGUAGCGAAAGCGAGUCUGAAUAGGGCGUUUAGUAUUUGGUCGUAGACCCGAAACCAGGUGAUCUACCCUUGGUCAGGUUGAAGUUCAGGUAACACUGAAUGGAGGACCGAACCGACUUACGUUGAAAAGUGAGCGGAUGAACUGAGGGUAGCGGAGAAAUUCCAAUCGAACCUGGAGAUAGCUGGUUCUCUCCGAAAUAGCUUUAGGGCUAGCCUCAAGUGAUGAUUAUUGGAGGUAGAGCACUGUUUGGACGAGGGGCCCCUCUCGGGUUACCGAAUUCAGACAAACUCCGAAUGCCAAUUAAUUUAACUUGGGAGUCAGAACAUGGGUGAUAAGGUCCGUGUUCGAAAGGGAAACAGCCCAGACCACCAGCUAAGGUCCCAAAAUAUAUGUUAAGUGGAAAAGGAUGUGGCGUUGCCCAGACAACUAGGAUGUUGGCUUAGAAGCAGCCAUCAUUUAAAGAGUGCGUAAUAGCUCACUAGUCGAGUGACACUGCGCCGAAAAUGUACCGGGGCUAAACAUAUUACCGAAGCUGUGGAUUGUCCUUUGGACAAUGGUAGGAGAGCGUUCUAAGGGCGUUGAAGCAUGAUCGUAAGGACAUGUGGAGCGCUUAGAAGUGAGAAUGCCGGUGUGAGUAGCGAAAGACGGGUGAGAAUCCCGUCCACCGAUUGACUAAGGUUUCCAGAGGAAGGCUCGUCCGCUCUGGGUUAGUCGGGUCCUAAGCUGAGGCCGACAGGCGUAGGCGAUGGAUAACAGGUUGAUAUUCCUGUACCACCUAUAAUCGUUUUAAUCGAUGGGGGGACGCAGUAGGAUAGGCGAAGCGUGCGAUUGGAUUGCACGUCUAAGCAGUAAGGCUGAGUAUUAGGCAAAUCCGGUACUCAUUAAGGCUGAGCUGUGAUGGGGAGAAGACAUUGUGUCUUCGAGUCGUUGAUUUCACACUGCCGAGAAAAGCCUCUAGAUAGAAAAUAGGUGCCCGUACCGCAAACCGACACAGGUAGUCAAGAUGAGAAUUCUAAGGUGAGCGAGCGAACUCUCGUUAAGGAACUCGGCAAAAUGACCCCGUAACUUCGGGAGAAGGGGUGCUCUUUAGGGUUAACGCCCAGAAGAGCCGCAGUGAAUAGGCCCAAGCGACUGUUUAUCAAAAACACAGGUCUCUGCUAAACCGUAAGGUGAUGUAUAGGGGCUGACGCCUGCCCGGUGCUGGAAGGUUAAGAGGAGUGGUUAGCUUCUGCGAAGCUACGAAUCGAAGCCCCAGUAAACGGCGGCCGUAACUAUAACGGUCCUAAGGUAGCGAAAUUCCUUGUCGGGUAAGUUCCGACCCGCACGAAAGGCGUAACGAUUUGGGCACUGUCUCAACGAGAGACUCGGUGAAAUCAUAGUACCUGUGAAGAUGCAGGUUACCCGCGACAGGACGGAAAGACCCCGUGGAGCUUUACUGUAGCCUGAUAUUGAAAUUCGGCACAGCUUGUACAGGAUAGGUAGGAGCCUUUGAAACGUGAGCGCUAGCUUACGUGGAGGCGCUGGUGGGAUACUACCCUAGCUGUGUUGGCUUUCUAACCCGCACCACUUAUCGUGGUGGGAGACAGUGUCAGGCGGGCAGUUUGACUGGGGCGGUCGCCUCCUAAAAGGUAACGGAGGCGCUCAAAGGUUCCCUCAGAAUGGUUGGAAAUCAUUCAUAGAGUGUAAAGGCAUAAGGGAGCUUGACUGCGAGACCUACAAGUCGAGCAGGGUCGAAAGACGGACUUAGUGAUCCGGUGGUUCCGCAUGGAAGGGCCAUCGCUCAACGGAUAAAAGCUACCCCGGGGAUAACAGGCUUAUCUCCCCCAAGAGUUCACAUCGACGGGGAGGUUUGGCACCUCGAUGUCGGCUCAUCGCAUCCUGGGGCUGUAGUCGGUCCCAAGGGUUGGGCUGUUCGCCCAUUAAAGCGGUACGCGAGCUGGGUUCAGAACGUCGUGAGACAGUUCGGUCCCUAUCCGUCGUGGGCGUAGGAAAUUUGAGAGGAGCUGUCCUUAGUACGAGAGGACCGGGAUGGACAUACCUCUGGUGUACCAGUUGUCGUGCCAACGGCAUAGCUGGGUAGCUAUGUGUGGACGGGAUAAGUGCUGAAAGCAUCUAAGCAUGAAGCCCCCCUCAAGAUGAGAUUUCCCAACUUCGGUUAU
This 2809-nucleotide ribosomal RNA is filed under the name Staphylococcus aureus. RNAcentral's name for it is "bacterial LSU rRNA". It matches the Rfam family "Bacterial large subunit ribosomal RNA". The record is from RNAcentral. Lineage: Bacteria; Bacillati; Bacillota; Bacilli; Caryophanales; Staphylococcaceae.